GCGGGCUUGGUGUAAAUGGGAUCACGUUAGACUGAAGAUCUAAAGGUACUCGGUUCGAUCCCGAGAGUCCGCA
Dermatophagoides pteronyssinus (European house dust mite) is the source of this 73-nucleotide non-coding RNA. The record is from the annotation of a RefSeq genome assembly. NCBI's taxonomy places the organism in Eukaryota, Metazoa, Arthropoda, Arachnida, Sarcoptiformes, Pyroglyphidae.